CGUAGUUUGACUCCGUGCUACAGAACGACGCUGGCGGCAUGCCUAACACAUGCAAGUCGAACGAGACCUUCGGGUCUAGUGGCGCACGGGUGCGUAACACGUGGGAAUUUGCCUCGGGGUAUGGAAUAACUCAGGGAAACUUGAGCUAAUACCAUAUAAUGUCUUCGGACCAAAGAUUUAUCGCCCUGAGAUAAGCCCGCGUAGGAUUAGCUAGUUGGUGGGGUAAAGGCUCACCAAGGCGACGAUCCUUAGCUGGUCUGAGAGGAUGAUCAGCCACACUGGGACUGAGACACGGCCCAGACUCCUACGGGAGGCAGCAGUGGGGGAAUAUUGGACAAUGGGCGAAAGCCUGAUCCAGCAAUGCCGCGUGAGUGAUGAAGGCCUUCGGGUUGUAAAGCUCUUUUACUCGGGACGAUAAUGACGGUACCGAGAGAAUAAGCCCCGGCUAACUCCGUG
Molecule: ribosomal RNA, 456 nt
Filed under: uncultured bacterium
Lineage: Bacteria
Description: bacterial SSU rRNA
Rfam family: Bacterial small subunit ribosomal RNA
Source: RNAcentral